RNAcentral lists this ribosomal RNA (448 nucleotides) under uncultured bacterium. Its description in RNAcentral is "bacterial SSU rRNA". It matches the Rfam family "Bacterial small subunit ribosomal RNA", at positions 330 to 793 of the family's 1533-position model. The record is from RNAcentral.
GCCAGACUCCUACGGGAGGCAGCAGUGGGGAAUAUUGCACAAUGGGGGAAACCCUGAUGCAGCGACGCCGCGUGAGUGAAGAAGUAUUUCGGUAUGUAAAGCUCUAUCAGCAGGGAAGAAAAUGACGGUACCUGAUUAAGAAGCCCCGGCUAACUACGUGCCAGCAGCCGCGGUAAUACGUAGGGGGCAAGCGUUAUCCGGAUUUACUGGGUGUAAAGGGAGCGUAGACGGUGAUGCAAGUCAGAAGUGAAAGCCCGGGGCUCAACUCCGGGACUGCUUUUGAAACUGUGUGACUGGAGUGCAGGAGAGGUAAGCGGAAUUCCUGGUGUAGCGGUGAAAUGCGUAGAUAUCAGGAGGAACACCAGUGGCGAAGGCGGCUUACUGGACUGUAACUGACGUUGAGGCUCGAAAGCGUGGGGAGCAAACAGGAUUAGAUACCCUCGUAUAG